AUUGAACGCUGGCGGCAUGCCUUACACAUGCAAGUCGAACGGCAGCACGGGUGCUUGCACCUGGUGGCGAGUGGCGAACGGGUGAGUAAUACAUCGGAACGUACCUUAUCGUGGGGGAUAACGCAGCGAAAGCUGUGCUAAUACCGCAUACGCCCUGAGGGGGAAAGCGGGGGAUCGCGAGACCUCGCGCGAUUAGGGCGGCCGAUGCCUGAUUAGCUUUUUGGGGGGGUAAAAGCCCACCAAGGCGACGAUCAGUAGCGGGUCUGAGAGGACAAGCAGCCAAACUGGGACUAGAAACCGGCCCAGAUUCUACCGGGAGGAGGCAGUGGGGAAGUUUGGACAAGGGGGGCAACCCUGAUCCAGCAAUGCCGCGUGAGGGAAGAAGGCCUUCGGGUUGUAAAGCUCUUUUGUCAGGGAAGAAACACCGGCUCUAACACAGUCCGGGAAUGACGGUACCUGAAGAAUAAGCACCGGCUAACUACGUGCCAGCAGCCGCCGUAA
This 501-nucleotide ribosomal RNA is filed under the name uncultured bacterium. Its description in RNAcentral is "partial 16S ribosomal RNA". It matches the Rfam family "Bacterial small subunit ribosomal RNA", at positions 29 to 523 of the family's 1533-position model. The record is from RNAcentral.